RNAcentral lists this ribosomal RNA (2900 nucleotides) under Klebsiella pneumoniae. RNAcentral's name for it is "bacterial LSU rRNA". It matches the Rfam family "Bacterial large subunit ribosomal RNA". Lineage: Bacteria; Pseudomonadati; Pseudomonadota; Gammaproteobacteria; Enterobacterales; Enterobacteriaceae. The record is from RNAcentral.
UUAAGCGACUAAGCGUACACGGUGGAUGCCCUGGCAGUCAGAGGCGAUGAAGGACGUGCUAAUCUGCGAAAAGCGUCGGUAAGGUGAUAUGAACCGUUAUAACCGGCGAUGUCCGAAUGGGGAAACCCAGUGUGAUUCGUCACACUAUCGUUAACUGAAUACAUAGGUUAACGAGGCGAACCGGGGGAACUGAAACAUCUAAGUACCCCGAGGAAAAGAAAUCAACCGAGAUUCCCCCAGUAGCGGCGAGCGAACGGGGAGCAGCCCAGAGUCUGAAUCAGCUUGUGUGUUAGUGGAACGGUCUGGAAAGUCCGACGGUACAGGGUGAUAGUCCCGUACACCAAAAUGCACAGGCUGUGAACUCGAAGAGUAGGGCGGGACACGUGGUAUCCUGUCUGAAUAUGGGGGGACCAUCCUCCAAGGCUAAAUACUCCUGACUGACCGAUAGUGAACCAGUACCGUGAGGGAAAGGCGAAAAGAACCCCGGCGAGGGGAGUGAAAAAGAACCUGAAACCGUGUACGUACAAGCAGUGGGAGCACCUUCGGGUGUGACUGCGUACCUUUUGUAUAAUGGGUCAGCGACUUAUAUUCUGUAGCAAGGUUAACCGUAUAGGGGAGCCGCAGGGAAACCGAGUCUUAACUGGGCGUUAAGUUGCAGGGUAUAGACCCGAAACCCGGUGAUCUAGCCAUGGGCAGGUUGAAGGUUGGGUAACACUAACUGGAGGACCGAACCGACUAAUGUUGAAAAAUUAGCGGAUGACUUGUGGCUGGGGGUGAAAGGCCAAUCAAACCGGGAGAUAGCUGGUUCUCCCCGAAAGCUAUUUAGGUAGCGCCUCGUGAACUCAUCUUCGGGGGUAGAGCACUGUUUCGGCUAGGGGGUCAUCCCGACUUACCAACCCGAUGCAAACUACGAAUACCGAAGAAUGUUAUCACGGGAGACACACGGCGGGUGCUAACGUCCGUCGUGAAGAGGGAAACAACCCAGACCGCCAGCUAAGGUCCCAAAGUCAUGGUUAAGUGGGAAACGAUGUGGGAAGGCACAGACAGCCAGGAUGUUGGCUUAGAAGCAGCCAUCAUUUAAAGAAAGCGUAAUAGCUCACUGGUCGAGUCGGCCUGCGCGGAAGAUGUAACGGGGCUAAACCAUGCACCGAAGCUGCGGCAGCGACACUAUGUGUUGUUGGGUAGGGGAGCGUUCUGUAAGCCUGCGAAGGUGUGCUGUGAGGCAUGCUGGAGGUAUCAGAAGUGCGAAUGCUGACAUAAGUAACGAUAAAGCGGGUGAAAAGCCCGCUCGCCGGAAGACCAAGGGUUCCUGUCCAACGUUAAUCGGGGCAGGGUGAGUCGACCCCUAAGGCGAGGCCGAAAGGCGUAGUCGAUGGGAAACAGGUUAAUAUUCCUGUACUUGGUGUUACUGCGAAGGGGGGACGGAGAAGGCUAUGUUAGCCGGGCGACGGUUGUCCCGGUUUAAGCAUGUAGGCUGAUUGUCCAGGCAAAUCCGGAUAAUCAAGGCUGAGGUGUGAUGACGAGGCACUACGGUGCUGAAGUAACAAAUGCCCUGCUUCCAGGAAAAGCCUCUAAGCAUCAGGUAACAUUAAAUCGUACCCCAAACCGACACAGGUGGUCAGGUAGAGAAUACCAAGGCGCUUGAGAGAACUCGGGUGAAGGAACUAGGCAAAAUGGUGCCGUAACUUCGGGAGAAGGCACGCUGGUGUGUAGGUGAAGCCCCUGCGGGUGGAGCUGAGACCAGUCGAAGAUACCAGCUGGCUGCAACUGUUUAUUAAAAACACAGCACUGUGCAAACACGAAAGUGGACGUAUACGGUGUGACGCCUGCCCGGUGCCGGAAGGUUAAUUGAUGGGGUUAUCCGUAAGGAGAAGCUCUUGAUCGAAGCCCCGGUAAACGGCGGCCGUAACUAUAACGGUCCUAAGGUAGCGAAAUUCCUUGUCGGGUAAGUUCCGACCUGCACGAAUGGCGUAAUGAUGGCCAGGCUGUCUCCACCCGAGACUCAGUGAAAUUGAACUCGCUGUGAAGAUGCAGUGUACCCGCGGCAAGACGGAAAGACCCCGUGAACCUUUACUAUAGCUUGACACUGAACAUUGAGCCUUGAUGUGUAGGAUAGGUGGGAGGCUUUGAAGCGUGGACGCCAGUCUGCGUGGAGCCAACCUUGAAAUACCACCCUUUAAUGUUUGAUGUUCUAACGUUGGCCCCUGACCGGGGUUGCGGACAGUGUCUGGUGGGUAGUUUGACUGGGGCGGUCUCCUCCCAAAGCGUAACGGAGGAGCACGAAGGUUAGCUAAUCCUGGUCGGACAUCAGGAGGUUAGUGCAAUGGCAUAAGCUAGCUUGACUGCGAGCGUGACGGCGCGAGCAGGUGCGAAAGCAGGUCAUAGUGAUCCGGUGGUUCUGAAUGGAAGGGCCAUCGCUCAACGGAUAAAAGGUACUCCGGGGAUAACAGGCUGAUACCGCCCAAGAGUUCAUAUCGACGGCGGUGUUUGGCACCUCGAUGUCGGCUCAUCACAUCCUGGGGCUGAAGUAGGUCCCAAGGGUAUGGCUGUUCGCCAUUUAAAGUGGUACGCGAGCUGGGUUUAGAACGUCGUGAGACAGUUCGGUCCCUAUCUGCCGUGGGCGCUGGAGAAUUGAGGGGGGCUGCUCCUAGUACGAGAGGACCGGAGUGGACGCAUCACUGGUGUUCGGGUUGUCAUGCCAAUGGCACUGCCCGGUAGCUAAAUGCGGAAGAGAUAAGUGCUGAAAGCAUCUAAGCACGAAACUUGCCCCGAGAUGAGUUCUCCCUGAGACUUUAAGUCUCCUGAAGGAACGUUGAAGACGACGACGUUGAUAGGCCGGGUGUGUAAGCGCAGCGAUGCGUUGAGCUAACCGGUACUAAUGAACCGUGAGGCUUAACCUU